CAGGAGGGCCCACGAAACACAGCUUUGAAGUCAGCAGGUCUGCGGUGGAGCCCAGGGGUCUGCAUUUCUAACAAGUUCCCUGGUGCUGCUGCUGCUGCCCGCCACUUCGGCCCACAUUUUCGGAACCACGGGACCACCGGCACCACUGGCCUCGGCAGAGGAAAGGAAACCAGGUGUCAGCCCUCAGGGGAGAUACCUUGUGGAACAGUGAGCUGACCUUCCCUAACACAGACCCAGCAAGUGGACUGCUCAGGGGGCGGCCGUGGAGGCCAAGAAUCAGACAUGGAAGGAUGUGUGCAGUCCAUGGUGCAGUCCCUGCAAAAAUGGCCGAAGGGCCUGCAGAAUGGGAAAAGAUCCGAUUCUAGUAGAAGUUCAAACCCAGACGGAAAGAAUACCCAAAUCCGGUCAUGGUGAGCCAAGUGAAGACCACUUCAGGAACGGC
Long non-coding RNA from Molossus molossus (Pallas's mastiff bat), 442 nucleotides. RefSeq lists it as uncharacterized. The transcript has 3 exons. NCBI's taxonomy places the organism in Eukaryota, Metazoa, Chordata, Mammalia, Chiroptera, Molossidae. The record is from RefSeq and is a predicted model, not a curated record.